AGGCUCCCGGGCGCGCGAGUA
RNAcentral lists this unclassified non-coding RNA (21 nucleotides) under Mus musculus (house mouse). Its description in RNAcentral is "oocyte_clustered_small_RNA172". The record is from RNAcentral. Lineage: Eukaryota; Metazoa; Chordata; Mammalia; Rodentia; Muridae.